This is a non-coding RNA of Acanthosepion pharaonis, 115 nucleotides long. The record is from the annotation of a GenBank genome assembly. Lineage: Eukaryota; Metazoa; Mollusca; Cephalopoda; Sepiida; Sepiidae.
UAUGGUCAUAUCAGGUUGAAAUACCGGUUUUUGUAUGAUCACUGAAGUUAAGCAACGUCGAACCUGGUCAGUAACUAGAUGGGUGACCACUUGCGAAUUACCAAGUGCUGCAAGC